This is a non-coding RNA of Naumovozyma castellii, 98 nucleotides long. The record is from the annotation of a RefSeq genome assembly. Lineage: Eukaryota; Fungi; Ascomycota; Saccharomycetes; Saccharomycetales; Saccharomycetaceae.
AGCGCUCAUUGCUUGAAACAAGGAAACCGAAAUGUCAGGGGUUCGAGCCCCCUAUGAGGAGAACCGAAAUGUCAGGGGUUCGAGCCCCCUAUGAGGAG